RNAcentral lists this ribosomal RNA (792 nucleotides) under uncultured bacterium. RNAcentral's name for it is "bacterial SSU rRNA". It matches the Rfam family "Bacterial small subunit ribosomal RNA", at positions 36 to 832 of the family's 1533-position model. The record is from RNAcentral.
CUGCGGCAGCUAGAAUGCAGUCGAGCGAGAAGCCCUUCGGGGUGAGUAGAGCGGCGGACGGGUGAGUAACGCGUAGGAAUCUACCCAGUAGUGGGGGACAACUAGUGGAAACGCUAGCUAAUACCGCAUACGCCCUACGGGGGAAAGCGGGGGACCUUCGGGCCUCGUGCUAUUGGAUGAGCCUGCGUAAGAUUAGCUUGUUGGUGAGGUAAUGGCUCACUAAGGCUACGAUCUUUAGCUGGUCUGAGAGGAUGAUCAGCCACACCGGGACUGAGACACGGCCCGGACUCCUACGGGAGGCAGCAGUCGGGAAUAUUGCGCAAUGGGGGAAACCCUGACGCAGCCAUGCCGCGUGUGUGAAGAAGGCCCUAGGGUUGUAAAGCACUUUCAAUUGGGAGGAAAAGCUAAUGGUUAAUAACCAUUAGCCCUGACGUUACCUUUAGAAGAAGCACCGGCUAACUCCGUGCCAGCAGCCGCGGUAAUACGGAGGGUGCAAGCGUUAAUCGGAAUUACUGGGCGUAAAGCGCGCGUAGGCGGUUUUUUAAGUCGGAUGUGAAAGCCCCGGGCUCAACCUGGGAACUGCAUCCGAUACUGGAAGACUAGAAUGCGGGAGAGGGAGGUAGAAUUCCAUGUGUAGCAGUGAAAUGCGUAGAUAUAUGGAGGAAUACCAGUGGCGAAGGCGGCCUCCUGGCUCGACAUUGACGCUGAGGUGCGAAAGCGUGGGGAGCAAACGGGAUUAGAUACCCCGGGUAGUCCACGCCGUAAACGAUGUCUACUAGCUGUAGGGUACUU